Molecule: ribosomal RNA, 1442 nt
Filed under: uncultured organism
Description: SSU rRNA
Rfam family: Bacterial small subunit ribosomal RNA
Source: RNAcentral
UGGAUGAACGCUAGCUACAGGCUUAACACAUGCAAGUCGAGGGGCAGCAUGGUCUUAGCUUGCUAAGGCCGAUGGCGACCGGCGCACGGGUGAGUAACACGUAUCCAACCUGCCGUCUACUCUUGGACAGCCUUCUGAAAGGAAGAUUAAUACAAGAUGGCAUCAUGAGUCCACAUGUUCACAUGAUUAAAGGUAUUCCGGUAGACGAUGGGGAUGCGUUCCAUUAGAUAGUAGGCGGGGUAACGGCCCACCUAGUCUUCGAUGGAUAGGGGUUCUGAGAGGAAGGUCCCCCACAUUGGAACUGAGACACGGUCCAAACUCCUACGGGAGGCAGCAGUGAGGAAUAUUGGUCAAUGGGCGAGAGCCUGAACCAGCCAAGUAGCGUGAAGGAUGACUGCCCUAUGGGUUGUAAACUUCUUUUAUAAAGGAAUAAAGUCGGGUAUGCAUACCCGUUUGCAUGUACUUUAUGAAUAAGGAUCGGCUAACUCCGUGCCAGCAGCCGCGGUAAUACGGAGGAUCCGAGCGUUAUCCGGAUUUAUUGGGUUUAAAGGGAGCGUAGAUGGAUGUUUAAGUCAGUUGUGAAAGUUUGCGGCUCAACCGUAAAAUUGCAGUUGAUACUGGAUAUCUUGAGUGCAGUUGAGGCAGGCGGAAUUCGUGGUGUAGCGGUGAAAUGCUUAGAUAUCACGAAGAACUCCGAUUGCGAAGGCAGCCUGCUAAGCUGCAACUGACAUUGAGGCUCGAAAGUGUGGGUAUCAAACAGGAUUAGAUACCCUGGUAGUCCACACGGUAAACGAUGAAUACUCGCUGUUUGCGAUAUACAGCAAGCGGCCAAGCGAAAGCGUUAAGUAUUCCACCUGGGGAGUACGCCGGCAACGGUGAAACUCAAAGGAAUUGACGGGGGCCCGCACAAGCGGAGGAACAUGUGGUUUAAUUCGAUGAUACGCGAGGAACCUUACCCGGGCUUAAAUUGCAGAUGAAUUACGGUGAAAGCCGUAAGCCGCAAGGCAUCUGUGAAGGUGCUGCAUGGUUGUCGUCAGCUCGUGCCGUGAGGUGUCGGCUUAAGUGCCAUAACGAGCGCAACCCUUGUUGUCAGUUACUAACAGGUCAUGCUGAGGACUCUGACAAGACUGCCAUCGUAAGAUGUGAGGAAGGUGGGGAUGACGUCAAAUCAGCACGGCCCUUACGUCCGGGGCUACACACGUGUUACAAUGGGGGGUACAGAGGGCCGCUACCACGCGAGUGGAUACCAAUCCCAAAAACCUCUCUCAGUUCGGACUGGAGUCUGCAACCCGACUCCACGAAGCUGGAUUCGCUAGUAAUCGCGCAUCAGCCACGGCGCGGUGAAUACGUUCCCGGGCCUUGUACACACCGCCCGUCAAGCCAUGGGAGCCGGGGGUACCUGAAGUGCGUAACCGCGAGGAGCGCCCUAGGGUAAAACUGGA